Molecule: long non-coding RNA, 942 nt
Organism: Trifolium pratense (red clover)
Lineage: Eukaryota; Viridiplantae; Streptophyta; Magnoliopsida; Fabales; Fabaceae
Exons: 2
Source: RefSeq, a predicted model, not a curated record
UCAGUAGUGAUUGACGUUGGACUUAAGUUAAUAAAAAGGACCACUGUUUGAUUUGCCGCAACUGCAAUCUUGUGGAGCUGAAACCACUUGAUAACAGAACUGACCUCGAACUAGAUUAGGUUGUCUGGUGAGUUGAAAAAACAAAAAUAAAAUAAAAUAAAAUAUAUAUUUUUUUACAAUAAAAAAACACUUACAGAGGACAAAGAGAAAUAUUUGUAAUUUAAUUUUGGGAACAAAAUAUUCCCCAAAUCGUCAUAAAAAAUAUUGUCGGCGGAACCUACAAAAAGUCCAAAGGAAAAAAAACGAAAUUACAAGAAAAAAGAAAUGGUAAAGCCAGCGAACAAAAGUUGAAGUGGUUUGAAAGAUUGAUUUGGAGAAUCAAUCAUCAACACAUGACAAGAGAAUAAGAAAGAAACAUGGAAACAGAACAAGAAGAACAUGAUCAUCAACAACAACACCUACCCACAUACGAUCCACUCUCCCACGUUGCAAAGAAAGAACUUUGUCGUAUCAAAUCAGCACAGAAAGCUGUUCAUCUUAUCCCUCUUCUUGUUCUUCUUUGUGCUAUCAUCCUUUGGUUCUUCUCUUCUCCUACCAAAAGUAGUCAAAACUAAGAAACUUAACUUCCAUCACUAAGAUUUCAUGAUGGAUGCACAAUUUCACUAUACAAGAAUCUAACUAGGACAAGACCAACUCAAAUGUUAUUUUGGAUCAGAUACAUCGAUUUUUGUUAAUUCAACUUUCUCUUAUAUUUAGGACAGGACAGGACGGGAGGUAUUAUUAAUUUGCUCUGAUUAAUCGAUUUAAUUAUAAAUUAAGAAAGAAAGAAAAUUAUGUUGUACUACAGCAAUGGAAUCUAGAUUGAAAUUUCAUCAGAUUGUCAUGUAUCAAUAUUAUUCAGUGGAUUUGGUUGUGUAGUAUGUAUCUAUAACUUUUAAUGCA